This is a long non-coding RNA of Octopus sinensis (East Asian common octopus), 215 nucleotides long. RefSeq lists it as uncharacterized. The record is from RefSeq and is a predicted model, not a curated record. The transcript is spliced from 3 exons. NCBI's taxonomy places the organism in Eukaryota, Metazoa, Mollusca, Cephalopoda, Octopoda, Octopodidae.
GGUUGUAUUGGAAAGCCUUUAAUAACCAUCGUGAGCUGCAUGGCGUUGAAAAUCCUCGUCUAUGAGCUCUUUGUUGAGUUGAAGUCUGCAGCAUAGUACAUCUCUGUUGUAAGGUGUAGGAAGCUCGCGCAGCAGCCAUGUUGGAAGCAUUCCUGAGCAGGCGUGUAGCGCGUUCGUUUUUCUUCUCUGCAGCUCGUAUUUCUUUUCUUUGAUCG